AUUUUAUGUUUUCUUGUGGUGUAAAAGUGUAUAUAUAAAACGAAUCGAGCUCAUUAUUUUUUUUCGUGAAAGGUUAAAUAUUAGAAAAUAUGGCAAAACGGAUUCGUUACAAGUUGUCCGACUUGACUGAUGAACAGUUGCUGGACUUGUUUGAGUCAGUCCCGUCGGAUGAGGAAGUGUCAGACAUAUCAAGUGACGACGGGGACGACGACUUGAAUUUGGAAGAAGCUCUGACCAAUGCACUAGAGGACGCUGAGACUGUAUCAUUUAUAGACUGUAAUGUUGAAAAUGUGCAAAAUGUGGUAAAGGAACCUGGGCCAUCACGGAAAACCGCCAAAAGGCCUCGAUCGCCAUUACCAAUUAUGGACGAAACAUAUUGCAAACAUAUCUUCGCCAUCUUCUGGUGGCUUCAAUGGUUUUGGUAUUGAAUCAAUAACAAAGGAGCCGAGUAAGAUUGUGUGGCGACAGCAAUGUUUGCAGUUGCAUGCGAACGACAUAGUCUUUCGAGGAGAUUCUUCGCUGCCAGCUGAAUUAAUGAAGCUUAGAACUCCAUCACAGCUAUUUUGCUAUUUUUUUAAUUCAGAAAUAAUGAAUAUGAUCACGGAGGAAACCAUGCGCGCAGCUUUAACGAAUAAUAUAUCAAAUAAGUUCAAAAUUAACAGUAAUGAUAUCCACCGUUACAUCGGUAUUUUGAUGUAUAUGUCCAUUUAUCGCUAUCCAAAUCUGAAAAGCUACUGGGCAAAACACGCGCUUGGACCUAUACAAACCUGCACGACCCGAACCAAAUUCGAGGGAAUUAAACAGUACUUCUCACUGCGAGAUGAGCGCGAGCGGAUCAAAAAGUUUCCCAAAACUUUAGUAUCUUAUAUCUGGUUGCAUAGAACUUUGCAGUUCUGAAAAGCAGCUAUAAAUAGGACCCAGACAUUUUUUAUCUGCAGCUUAACGCCUGGAAGAUAUUAAGAUAAGA
This is a long non-coding RNA of Drosophila obscura, 967 nucleotides long. RefSeq lists it as uncharacterized. The record is from RefSeq and is a predicted model, not a curated record. The transcript is spliced from 3 exons. NCBI's taxonomy places the organism in Eukaryota, Metazoa, Arthropoda, Insecta, Diptera, Drosophilidae.